AGUGAACGCUGGCGGUAGGCCUAACACAUGCAAGUCGAACGGCAGCACAGUAAGAGCUUGCUCUUACGGGUGGCGAGUGGCGGACGGGUGAGGAAUACAUCGGAAUCUACUUUUUCUGGGGGGUUAACGUAGGAAAACUUACGCUAUUACCCCUUCCGCCCAACGGUUGAAACCAGGGAAUUUUCGACCCUGGCGGAAUUGAUUGAGCCGAUGUCGGAUUAGCUAGUUGGCGGGGUAAAGGCCCACCAAGGCGACGAUCCGUAGCUGGUCUGAGAGGAUGAUCAGCCACACUGGAACUGAGACACGGUCCAGACUCCUACGGGAGGCAGCAGUGGGGAAUAUUGGACAAUGGGCGCAAGCCUGAUCCAGCCAUACCGCGUGGGUGAAGAAGGCCUUCGGGUUGUAAAGCCCUUUUGUUGGGAAAGAAAAGCAGCAGGUUAAUACCCCGCUGUUCUGACGGUACCCAAAGAAUAAGCACCGGCUAACUUCGUG
This 492-nucleotide ribosomal RNA is filed under the name uncultured bacterium. RNAcentral describes it as "partial 16S ribosomal RNA". It matches the Rfam family "Bacterial small subunit ribosomal RNA", at positions 29 to 507 of the family's 1533-position model. The record is from RNAcentral.